AUGGGUACCUGCCGCUCUUGGCGUGCUGCAGCCUAUUCCUUCUCAUCUGCAUAUGCCUUCACCUUCCCACCCCUCCACCUCAAGCCAGAUUUUUGCUAUACACGUAAGCGGAGCAAGCUUGGUGUGUUCAGCCUUUUACGCGAUUGCAAAUGGCUGCUUGCUGAUCCUGCCAAGAGAAACUUAUCCCUUCGCUGCUCGGUGGCCCGAAAUAGUCCAAAUUGCCUACUGUAUUUGGGAUGCUCAUAUGGGUAUCUUAUCUUCUCCUACCGGGAGCACUGCCUCCUUGCCGAUGUGUACGCUGGCACUAAGGUGAAGCCUCCCAAAAUCCAGUCCAGUAGCAACCUGGAAAUCUACUUUGACUUCCUUGUGGCCCCACUCAGUUCACCAAGCUCAUGCCUCAUCCUUUUCUCAAAAACAUCCAUGUUCCAAUGGCAUGUUGGGGCAAAAUCUUGGUCAGAGCACCCUCUCGGGCUUGAUGGUGCAGGCACAUAA
Molecule: ribosomal RNA, 492 nt
Filed under: Triticum aestivum (bread wheat)
Lineage: Eukaryota; Viridiplantae; Streptophyta; Magnoliopsida; Poales; Poaceae
Description: partial small subunit ribosomal RNA
Source: RNAcentral